UCAGCACUAAUCAAGCUUAAGGACUUACAUACCGGGUAUUGAUUACUCACCUUUAGUCCUGGGAAGGUCUGAGACCCGCACCUGAACUUAUACCUCCUAGCAGGAGGCUUUCCGAGCAGGGAAGGCAAGGGAACAAGAAAUAGCGGUGAGUGGAGGUCUGUGCUUGGGACGCAGCAAUGCUGAAGCUGUACCUCUGCUCUACCGGUGGAAACUCUUGUGGUGGGCUGUUUUAGUUGGAUUAGCUCGGCGCAAUUUUUUGUGUAACUCAAUUCAGACUAAUCUUGUGCUGA
RNAcentral lists this RNase P RNA (290 nucleotides) under Trialeurodes vaporariorum (greenhouse whitefly). RNAcentral's name for it is "nuclear RNase P". It matches the Rfam family "Nuclear RNase P". Rfam says of the family: Ribonuclease P (RNase P) is a ubiquitous endoribonuclease, found in archaea, bacteria and eukarya as well as chloroplasts and mitochondria. Its best characterised activity is the generation of mature 5'-ends of tRNAs by cleaving the 5'-leader elements of precursor-tRNAs. The record is from RNAcentral. Lineage: Eukaryota; Metazoa; Arthropoda; Insecta; Hemiptera; Aleyrodidae.